RNAcentral lists this ribosomal RNA (252 nucleotides) under uncultured bacterium. RNAcentral describes it as "partial 16S ribosomal RNA". It matches the Rfam family "Bacterial small subunit ribosomal RNA", at positions 524 to 776 of the family's 1533-position model. The record is from RNAcentral.
UACGUAGGUCCCGAGCGUUGUCCGGAUUUAUUGGGCGUAAAGCGAGCGCAGGUGGUUUAUUAAGUCUGGUGUAAAAGGCAGUGGCUCAACCAUUGUAUGCAUUGGAAACUGGUAGACUUGAGUGCAGGAGAGGAGAGUGGAAUUCCAUGUGUAGCAGUGAAAUGCGUAGAUAUAUGGAAGAACACCGGUGGCGAAAGCGGCUCUCUGGCCUGUAACUGACACUGAGGCUCGAAAGCGUGGGGAGCAAACAGG